Molecule: ribosomal RNA, 399 nt
Filed under: uncultured Bacillota bacterium
Lineage: Bacteria; Bacillati; Bacillota
Description: bacterial SSU rRNA
Rfam family: Bacterial small subunit ribosomal RNA
Source: RNAcentral
GGCUUGACAUACCAUUGACAGGCGCAGAGAUGUGCUCUUCUUCGGACAAUGGAUACAGGUGGUGCAUGGUUGUCGUCAGCUCGUGCCGUGAGGUGUUGGGUUAAGUCCCGCAACGAGCGCAACCCCUAUUGCUAGUUACUAACAUUAAGUUGAGGACUCUAGUGAGACUGCCAGUGACAAACUGGAGGAAGGUGGGGAUGACGUCAAAUCAUCAUGCCCUUUAUGACCUGGGCUACAAACGUACUACAAUGGCCAAUACAAAGAGAUGCGAAGUUGUGAGAUGGAGCGAACCUCAAAAAAUGGUCUCAGUUCAGAUUGAAGUCUGCAACUCGACUUCAUGAAGGCGGAAUCGCUAGUAAUCGCGGGUCAGCAGACCGCGGUGAAUACGUUCCCGGGUUU